GUCAUUGCCCUUGGGCUUGACAUCCCACGAACCUGCCCGAAAGGGUAGGGUGCCCGCAAGGGAGCGUGGAGACAGGUGGUGCAUGGCUGUCGUCAGCUCGUGUCGUGAGAUGCUGGGUUAAGUCCCGCAACGAGCGCAACCCUCACCCCUUGUUGCCACCGGGUCAUGCCGAGCACUCUAGGGUGAAUUGCCAGCGUCAAGCUGGAGGAAGGCGGGGAUGACGUCAAGUCAUCAUGCCCCUUACGCCCUGGGCGAAACACGUGCUACAAUGGCUGGUACAAAGGGAUGCAAGACCGCGAGGUGGAGCUAAUCCCAAAAAACCGGUCUAGAGUUGAGAUUGCAGUCUGCAACUCGACUGCAUGAAGGAGGAAUCGCUAGUAAUCGCGCAUCAGCACGGCGCGGUGAAUACGUUCCCGGGCCUUGUACGCACCGCCCGUCACACCACGAAAGCCGGCUGUACUCGAAGUCGCUGAAGGAC
This 478-nucleotide ribosomal RNA is filed under the name uncultured Methylomirabilota bacterium. RNAcentral describes it as "bacterial SSU rRNA". It matches the Rfam family "Bacterial small subunit ribosomal RNA", at positions 965 to 1438 of the family's 1533-position model. The record is from RNAcentral. Lineage: Bacteria; Methylomirabilota (SeqCode).